Long non-coding RNA from Amphiprion ocellaris (clown anemonefish), 1957 nucleotides. RefSeq lists it as uncharacterized. Lineage: Eukaryota; Metazoa; Chordata; Actinopteri; Pomacentridae. The record is from RefSeq and is a predicted model, not a curated record. The transcript is spliced from 4 exons.
CCCGCAGGGGGCGCUGCAGGAAUCACGGUGGUUCUGCAAUGACGUCACUAUAGUGGGCGGAGACUGCGGACGUGAACCCGGAAGCUGUACGGCAGGUAACAGUUGCUGAGGAAACUUGGAUUUCGGGGUUUUAACUGAAGUUCAUGGUGUUUAGAGGAGGGACUGAUGGACACCAGGAUGAAACCACAGACGGAUGAGACACGACGAGAGGAAGUUGGGUGCCAGGACUUCUCGAGUUGGAUUAAGGCGGUUACAUCCAGUAAAUGACUACUGAUUCCCAGAGGAGCUGGUGCCGGUGGACCGACGGGAUGGGCGGAGCUGGGACACCGGUAGUUUACUGAUGUGGAUUACAAGUUAUGAACUGAAGUAGCUGAAACGAAUCAAAAGUUCUUGAGGAUUUACGCUACUCGGAGGUUGGAUUUGACUGAUAAAAGCUCUUACUGGAUUUUAAAAUUGCCUGAGGAGGAUGAAAGGGAUUGACGCUCCAGUUUUAGACCACCGGACAAGAUCACAGUCAACAGUCGACAAAACAGGGAAACUCUGCUGCUGACCUCAAGAUUCCUCGAGGAGGAGCUGAGCGAGUGUGUGGGCGUGUGACCUCACAGCAGGACCCUUCAACUCUCACUGUAAUGCCUCGCCUACAGCAAGGAUCCCAGUCGGCCCAGGAGUUACGAGGUGGUGACAGGAUGGACUGACGAAUAACCAAAGAACUACAGACUCUUCACAACCUGCUCAAACUCUUGGUACAGGACCUCACCACACGGGUCAAGAAGGUUUCUGUCUCAUUUCUACUCUGAAGCUCACCUUCUCCUGCUCAAACUGCUGACAAAUGUUUCUGCUGCUCUAAAGUCUGGUCUCCAGAACUUCCUAAAAACUCUCAAAGUCUCUUCUGCUGCAGGUUGCUUUGUAGAACUGUCGCAGAAAACCUCACUAAACCACAUGGAGGGGCCUCAAGAUAGUCGUCCAAAUGAAAUCGUACAAAAACCAAACUAGCACAACCCAAACACUAAACUCUCCUGCAGCCUACCAGAGAACCUCUGAGAACAGAGAAUCAGGACAGGAACUCUUACCUUCUGGACAACCAACAUUGGUUCUCAAACAAGAAUACAGAAUGUGUCUGACCAAAAACCUCUAAAGACUCACUACAGCCAAGAUAAAGACACAACUCAGCUGCACCAAAUCCACUAAUCACUGCACACAUUAGGACCAUGUGCUAACUGUGGCUAAAGAACCACAUUUACCAAGACAACUAUCCAGUACAAAGCCAUAAAACACACCAAGAAACACAUUAAAGACGAUUUUACUGCUGGAAGCUGCAAGCCAACGCCUAAAGAACAAACUGAAGCAAUGGAGCUAAACCUGAUUCAAUGGUGAAUAGAAGCAGAGGAAAUGUUUGUCUGCAGCUAAAUAAAGCAGGAAGACACUGAGCUGCUCAGGUGUUCCUGAUGACACCAAGCAGCCACCUGGACAGCCAAUAAGAACACAGCUUCCUGGAAGUCCAGAGGGCUGGGUUAGUGAAGGAAAUUUAAUUUAAAGUUGAAGCAGAAAGUUAACAAAGAAAGUUGAAAACCACCUUCUGAUACCUGAAAUCUCUGAGUUUUCACACAAAGAACACCUGAACAUGUCAAACUGGUUCCAUAGUAGAACCAUCAUUGUAAAAAUGUCAUAGUAUGGUGUGUUGCUCAAAAAACAUUAGGACCCGGCUGUCAGGGGACAAACAUGUAAGAAACAUGAGAACAGAGAGAAUCCAACCAGUAGGUCACAGUUUAUCAUCCCCCAGUCAUCUCCUGAAGUCCAUAUGGUGAGAGACAUCAGUAUCUGGUUGUUAAUUUACCAGAGGAUGCUUAUAAUCAUGCUGAUGUGGUCUGUACUCUACAGUAUUUUAGUGACUCAAUAAAUGCCUAAGUUGUUUUUUUUUUAAAUGCUUUUUAGUUUUUAAUAAACAUUUAACAGCCUA